This 58-nucleotide transfer RNA is filed under the name Ictidomys tridecemlineatus (thirteen-lined ground squirrel). RNAcentral describes it as "Spermophilus tridecemlineatus (thirteen-lined ground squirrel) tRNA". It matches the Rfam family "tRNA", at positions 8 to 63 of the family's 71-position model. Rfam says of the family: Transfer RNA (tRNA) molecules are approximately 80 nucleotides in length. Their secondary structure includes four short double-helical elements and three loops (D, anti-codon, and T loops). The record is from Rfam by way of RNAcentral. Lineage: Eukaryota; Metazoa; Chordata; Mammalia; Rodentia; Sciuridae. RNAcentral also lists the same sequence under 1 other name.
UAACUCAGUUGGUAGAGUGCUUGCCUUGCAUGCACAAGGCCCUGGGUUCAACCCCCAG